UAACACAUGCAAGUCGAGGGGAAACGACAUCGAAAGCUUGCUUUUGAUGGGCGUCGACCGGCGCACGGGUGAGUAACGCGUAUCCAACCUGCCCACCACUUGGGGAUAACCUUGCGAAAGUAAGACUAAUACCCAAUGAUAUCUCUAGAAGACAUCUGAAAGAGAUUAAAGAUUUACCGGUGAUGGAUGGGGAUGCGUCUGAUUAGCUUGUUGGCGGGGUAACGGCCCACCAAGGCAACGAUCAGUAGGGGUUCUGAGAGGAAGGUCCCCCACAUUGGAACUGAGACACGGUCCAAACUCCUACGGGAGGCAGCAGUGAGGAAUAUUGGUCAAUGGACGAGAGUCUGAACCAGCCAAGUAGCGUGCAGGACGACGGCCCUAUGGGUUGUAAACUGCUUUUAUAAGGGAAUAAAGUGAGUCUCGUGAGACUUUUUGCAUGUACCUUAUGAAUAAGGACCGGCUAAUUCCGUGCCAGCAGCCGCGGUAAUACGGAAGGUCCGGGCGUUAUCCGGAUUUAUUGGGUUUAAAGGGAGCGUAGGCCGGAGAUUAAGCGUGUUGUGAAAUGUAGAUGCUCAACAUCUGCACUGCAGCGCGAACUGGUUUCCUUGAGUACGCACAAAGUGGGCGGAAUUCGUGGUGUAGCGGUGAAAUGCUUAGAUAUCACGAAGAACUCCGAUUGCGAAGGCAGCUCACUGGAGCGCAACUGACGCUGAAGCUCGAAAGUGCGGGUAUCGAACAGG
This 740-nucleotide ribosomal RNA is filed under the name uncultured bacterium. RNAcentral's name for it is "bacterial SSU rRNA". It matches the Rfam family "Bacterial small subunit ribosomal RNA", at positions 49 to 776 of the family's 1533-position model. The record is from RNAcentral.